UGGAGCAUGUGGUUAAUUCGAAGCAACGCGAAGAACCUUACCAGGUCUUGACAUCCCGAUGCUAUUUCUAGAGAUGGAUUGGUGCCUUCGGGAACUCUGACACAGGUGCUGCAUGGCUGUCGCCAGCUCGUGUCGUGAGAUGUUGGGUUAAGUCCCGUAACGAGCGCAACCCUUGUCCUUAGUUACCAGCACGUUAAGGUGGGCACUCUAAGGAGACUGCCGGUGACAAACCGGAGGAAGGUGGGGAUGACGUCAAGUCAUCAUGGCCCUUACGGCCUGGGCUACACACGUGCUACAAUGGUCGGUACAAAGGGUUGCCAAGCCGCGAGGUGGAGCUAAUCCCAUAAAACCGAUCGUAGUCCGGAUCGCAGUCUGCAACUCGACUGCGUGAAGUCGGAAUCGCUAGUAAUCGUGAAUCAGAAUGUCACGGUGAAUACGUUCCCGGGCCUU
RNAcentral lists this ribosomal RNA (450 nucleotides) under uncultured Pseudomonas sp. RNAcentral describes it as "bacterial SSU rRNA". It matches the Rfam family "Bacterial small subunit ribosomal RNA", at positions 933 to 1382 of the family's 1533-position model. Lineage: Bacteria; Pseudomonadati; Pseudomonadota; Gammaproteobacteria; Pseudomonadales; Pseudomonadaceae. The record is from RNAcentral.